Long non-coding RNA from Diorhabda carinulata, 1326 nucleotides. RefSeq lists it as uncharacterized. NCBI's taxonomy places the organism in Eukaryota, Metazoa, Arthropoda, Insecta, Coleoptera, Chrysomelidae. The record is from RefSeq and is a predicted model, not a curated record. The transcript is spliced from 2 exons.
GUCAGAAUUGCAGAGAACAAAUUUAUGUGUAUAGUAAUCUGUUGUUUAUUAUUUAUUCGCUUUAUCACAUAAUAGGCUAUUUGACAACAUUGAAAAUAUACUGCAAAUUGUGGUUAUCCCAUUAAAUAAUAGUCUAAAGAAACAUAAUUCUAAUUUUUUUAUCAGAAUUAUGUAUAAUUUUUGUAAAUUACACAAAAUAAAAUAUAAUAAUUUUUGAAAUUUUAUCUAUAAUGAGAACACUCUGUGAUUGGUGAUAACGCGGGUGACAUCACAGGCAGGUAAAGUUAGACUACUGACAGAUUAUUGUUUCUUUGUUGUUAUUAGUUUGUGGUUGUUAGUGUUUUAUUUGUUAACUUCUAUUUCUGGAGCAUUUUUAAGACAAUUAUUGAUCAAUAUUAGGUAGUGGCAUAAAUAUGGAAUCAAAUUUUGUGAAAACCGAUAACAGCAACUUACCCAAGGUAGAUGCACUUAUGGUUGCUUUUUAUUUUAAGAAUAACGCUGAUUAUUGUGUAGAGGAGUUGAGAAAUGUUGAAACAGCAGUGUCUGUGAUGGAAUCUUAUGGGGACGAUGCGAUCGGCUAUGUCCAACUACACUGGGAGGAAGGCGUUUGCACAGUUGAGUGUAAAAUAUGUCCAAAACAUAAAGUUAAAUACAAAUCAUACAGCGCGACAAUAGUUGUUGAAAAUGAUGGCGAAAUCAUUAGUCGUAUCAUGAUUGUGCUGCUUCAGUCGGAGGAUGCAAGCAUGCAGUUGCUUUUUUGAUGUGGCUCCAUCGUCGCACUGAAGAACCAGCAUGUACGUCCAUAGAAUGCUACUGGAAAACUGUUCAGCGGAUGUCUAAGAGGAAAGUAACUCACAGGUCAAGUACAUCCGCUCUAUAUAUUGAAUUUAUCUUGGAAGCAAAGAAAAGAAAAGUAAAUAAUUGCGAAUUGCUAAAAUAUUAGCAUGACUUCAAACAUAUGGAUGUGAUGCAGUAUUCAUUGCACAGUUUUCGAAAAGAUCUAGAUAAAGUUCUAAAUUUGAUGAAAGCUACAUUCACCGAAGCUGUGACAAGUGCCAUAGAAGUAGCUAAUAUAAGAUAAAAUAAGAGCAGAUCAUGGUAUGAGAUGCGUUAUGGCCGUAUCACAGCAUAGUAUGUUUGUAAUACACCAGACGGUUCAUUGGUAGCUACUAUAAUACAAAAAUAAUGCAAAAAUAUCAGAUACUGUUGCAAUGGAAAGAGGUAGAAAUUUGGAAGUAUCUGUUCUCGUGAUGGUAUUAUGAAGGAUGCCAUCAUUGAGAUAAAAUGUCCUACCAAAGCAAAAGCUAGGGACAAUUAUUCGAAAAA